Molecule: long non-coding RNA, 357 nt
Organism: Diceros bicornis minor
Lineage: Eukaryota; Metazoa; Chordata; Mammalia; Perissodactyla; Rhinocerotidae
Exons: 3
Source: RefSeq, a predicted model, not a curated record
UUGUUUUGAGCUGUUCACGUUGCGGAGCAGCGGUUGCUGCCUGCUGCUCCGACGUGGCCCGCUCGGGAUUCCUUAUAGACCGCCGAGGCCCUUGGAUCGAUUUUGUGACAGCACUCAUGUGUGACCACUCUGUCUGUUUUUCAUCUGAGCAGCCCAGUUGAAUUGGAAAGUACUUUCGUAGAAGAGCCACUCAGCUGUGCCUAGAGGGGCAGACAAGAAAAGUCCCAACCAAGUCAGGCAGAUGCUUGAAGGAAGUCCAGACCAGCCUGGCAGCAGAUGAAAGGAAUUAGUCUAUUAAAGCAGUCAGAAUCAGGAAGAAGUUCUAACAAGACGGCACUGGAAGAGGUUUGGCAAGCC